GAAGUGCGUAAGACAAUUGCAUCUAAGGAAGAGAAGAUCAAGGAACUGGAAUCAGAGCGCCAGAAGCUGCGUGAGACAAUUGCAUCUCAGAAGAAGGGUUGGU
Molecule: long non-coding RNA, 103 nt
Organism: Mauremys reevesii (Reeves's turtle)
Lineage: Eukaryota; Metazoa; Chordata; Testudines; Geoemydidae
Exons: 4
Source: RefSeq, a predicted model, not a curated record